RNAcentral lists this ribosomal RNA (1319 nucleotides) under Bacillus sp. SC175(2010). RNAcentral's name for it is "bacterial SSU rRNA". It matches the Rfam family "Bacterial small subunit ribosomal RNA", at positions 50 to 1355 of the family's 1533-position model. Lineage: Bacteria; Bacillati; Bacillota; Bacilli; Caryophanales; Bacillaceae. The record is from RNAcentral.
UAUACAUGCAAGUCGAGCGGACAGAAGGGAGCUUGCUCCCGGAUGUUAGCGGCGGACGGGUGAGUAACACGUGGGUAACCUGCCUGUAAGACUGGGAUAACUCCGGGAAACCGGAGCUAAUACCGGAUAGUUCCUUGAACCGCAUGGUUCAAGGAUGAAAGACGGUUUCGGCUGUCACUUACAGAUGGACCCGCGGCGCAUUAGCUAGUUGGUGAGGUAACGGCUCACCAAGGCGACGAUGCGUAGCCGACCUGAGAGGGUGAUCGGCCACACUGGGACUGAGACACGGCCCAGACUCCUACGGGAGGCAGCAGUAGGGAAUCUUCCGCAAUGGACGAAAGUCUGACGGAGCAACGCCGCGUGAGUGAUGAAGGUUUUCGGAUCGUAAAGCUCUGUUGUUAGGGAAGAACAAGUGCAAGAGUAACUGCUUGCACCUUGACGGUACCUAACCAGAAAGCCACGGCUAACUACGUGCCAGCAGCCGCGGUAAUACGUAGGUGGCAAGCGUUGUCCGGAAUUAUUGGGCGUAAGCGCGCGCAGGUGGUUUCUUAAGUCUGAUGUGAAAGCCCACGGCUCAACCGUGGAGGGUCAUUGGAAACUGGGAAACUUGAGUGCAGAAGAGGAAAGUGGAAUUCCAUGUGUAGCGGUGAAAUGCGUAGAGAUAUGGAGGAACACCAGUGGCGAAGGCGACUUUCUGGUCUGUAACUGACACUGAGGCGCGAAAGCGUGGGGAGCRAACAGGAUUAGAUACCCUGGUAGUCCACGCCGUAAACGAUGAGUGCUAAGUGUUAGRGGGUUUCCGCCCYUUAGUGCUGMAGYUAACGCAUUAAGCACUCCGCCUGGGGAGUACGGYCGCAAGACUGAAACUCAAAGGAAUUGACGGGGGCCCGCACAAGCGGUGGAGCAUGUGGUUUAAUUCGAAGCAACGCGAAGAACCUUACCAGGUCUUGACAUCCUCUGACAACCCUAGAGAUAGGGCUUUCCCUUCGGGGACAGAGUGACAGGUGGUGCAUGGUUGUCGUCAGCUCGUGUCGUGAGAUGUUGGGUUAAGUCCCGCAACGAGCGCAACCCUUGAUCUUAGUUGCCAGCAUUCAGUUGGGCACUCUAAGGUGACUGCCGGUGACAAACCGGAGGAAGGUGGGGAUGACGUCAAAUCAUCAUGCCCCUUAUGACCUGGGCUACACACGUGCUACAAUGGACAGAACAAAGGGCUGCGAGACCGCAAGGUUUAGCCAAUCCCACAAAUCUGUUAUCAGUUCGGAUCGCAGUCUGCAACUCGACUGCGAGAAGCUGGAAUCGCUAGUAAUCGCGAUCAGCAU